UACGUAGGGGGCAAGCGUUGUCCGGAUUUAUUGGGCGUAAAGAGCGUGUAGGCGGCCAGAUAAGUCCGCUGUGAAAUCUCGAGGCUCAACUUCGAGCUGUCGGUGGAAACUAUCUGGCUAGAGUCCGGAAGAGGAGAAUGGAAUUCCUGGUGUAGCGGUGAAAUGCGCAGAUAUCAGGAAGAACACCCGUGGCGAAGGCGGUUCUCUGGGCCUUACCUGACGCUGAGGAGCGAAAGCGUGGGGAGCAAACGGG
This 253-nucleotide ribosomal RNA is filed under the name uncultured bacterium. RNAcentral's name for it is "partial 16S ribosomal RNA". It matches the Rfam family "Bacterial small subunit ribosomal RNA", at positions 524 to 776 of the family's 1533-position model. The record is from RNAcentral.